AACUUUAAAGGAAUUGACGGGGCCCGCACAAGCGGAGGAACAUGUGGUUUAAUUCGAUGAUACGCGAGGAACCUUACCUGGGCUUAAAUGGGGAGUGACAGCUGUCGAAAGAUGGUUUUCUUCGGACACUCUUCAAGGUGCUGCAUGGUUGUCGUCAGCUCGUGCCGUGAGGUGUCGGGUUAAGUCCCAUAACGAGCGCAACCCUUACCGUUAGUUACCAUCAGGUUAAGCUGGGGACUCUAGCGGGACUGCCACCGUAAGGUGAGAGGAAGGUGGGGAUGACGUCAAAUCAGCACGGCCCUUAUGUCCAGGGCUACACACGUGUUACAAUGGCCGGUACAAAGGGCAGCUACUUCGCGAGAAGAUGCUAAUCUCGAAAGCCGGUCUCAGUUCGGAUCGAAGUCUGCAACCCGACUUCGUGAAGCUGGAUUCGCUAGUAAUCGCGCAUCAGCCAUGGCGCGGUGAAUACGUUCCCGGGCCUU
Molecule: ribosomal RNA, 482 nt
Filed under: uncultured Sphingobacteriales bacterium
Lineage: Bacteria; Pseudomonadati; Bacteroidota; Sphingobacteriia; Sphingobacteriales
Description: bacterial SSU rRNA
Rfam family: Bacterial small subunit ribosomal RNA
Source: RNAcentral